CCAAGCAACAAGAAGAUGCAGGUUACAAAGAUUGUUGCAGGGUUGUUGCAUUCAGCCUGCAUCAGCGAACAAGGAUCUGUUUUUACAUUUGGUGAAAGAACAAUAGGUAGGCUGGGCUUUGGAGAAGCAAACAAUGCAACAUCACCAUCCAUUAUCAGCGAAAUUCCCUUGUCGCAAGGAGUUUCUUUCAGUGGUUAUCACAGAUGCGUUAUAACUGGU
Long non-coding RNA from Magnolia sinica, 219 nucleotides. RefSeq lists it as uncharacterized. NCBI's taxonomy places the organism in Eukaryota, Viridiplantae, Streptophyta, Magnoliopsida, Magnoliales, Magnoliaceae. The transcript has 3 exons. The record is from RefSeq and is a predicted model, not a curated record.